AGAGUUUGAUCCUGGCUCAGGACGAACGCUGGCGGCGUGCCUAAUACAUGCAAGUCGAACGCUUCUUUUUCCACCGGAGCUUGCUCCACCGGAAAAAGAGGAGUGGCGAACGGGUGAGUAACACGUGGGUAACCUGCCCAUCAGAAGGGGAUAACACUUGGAAACAGGUGCUAAUACCGUAUAACAAUCAAAACCGCAUGGUUUUGAUUUGAAAGGCGCUUUCGGGUGUCGCUGAUGGAUGGACCCGCGGUGCAUUAGCUAGUUGGUGAGGUAACGGCUCACCAAGGCCACGAUGCAUAGCCGACCUGAGAGGGUGAUCGGCCACAUUGGGACUGAGACACGGCCCAAACUCCUACGGGAGGCAGCAGUAGGGAAUCUUCGGCAAUGGACGAAAGUCUGACCGAGCAACGCCGCGUGAGUGAAGAAGGUUUUCGGAUCGUAAAACUCUGUUGUUAGAGAAGAACAAGGAUGAGAGUAACUGUUCAUCCCUUGACGGUAUCUAACCAGAAAGCCACGGCUAACUACGUGCCAGCAGCCGCGGUAAUACGUAGGUGGCAAGCGUUGUCCGGAUUUAUUGGGCGUAAAGCGAGCGCAGGCGGUUUCUUAAGUCUGAUGUGAAAGCCCCCGGCUCAACCGGGGAGGGUCAUUGGAAACUGGGAGACUUGAGUGCAGAAGAGGAGAGUGGAAUUCCAUGUGUAGCGGUGAAAUGCGUAGAUAUAUGGAGGAACACCAGUGGCGAAGGCGGCUCUCUGGUCUGUAACUGACGCUGAGGCUCGAAAGCGUGGGGAGCAAACAGGAUUAGAUACCCUGGUAGUCCACGCCGUAAACGAUGAGUGCUAAGUGUUGGAGGGUUUCCGCCCUUCAGUGCUGCAGCUAACGCAUUAAGCACUCCGCCUGGGGAGUACGACCGCAAGGUUGAAACUCAAAGGAAUUGACGGGGGCCCGCACAAGCGG
RNAcentral lists this ribosomal RNA (954 nucleotides) under Enterococcus faecium. Its description in RNAcentral is "bacterial SSU rRNA". It matches the Rfam family "Bacterial small subunit ribosomal RNA", at positions 8 to 932 of the family's 1533-position model. Lineage: Bacteria; Bacillati; Bacillota; Bacilli; Lactobacillales; Enterococcaceae. The record is from RNAcentral.